UAGUCCUUACUUGAUUUAACCAUCAAGAGCCAAAGAUCUAUGGCAGCCCAAUUUGGUACAUUCCUAGCCGAGAGACAAUCCACAAACCGACCUCCACUUUUUAAUAAGUCAAACUACACCUAUUAGAAAGCUCAGAUGAGAAUUUUCAUUCAAGCAUUUGACUAUGAUAUAUGAAGUAUCAUAGUAAAUGGACCACACACACCCACUAAAUUGAUUGAUGAUGUGUCUCUCCCUA
RNAcentral lists this long non-coding RNA (235 nucleotides) under Elaeis guineensis (African oil palm). Its description in RNAcentral is "long non-coding RNA (EGUI_LNC074188)". The record is from RNAcentral. Lineage: Eukaryota; Viridiplantae; Streptophyta; Magnoliopsida; Arecales; Arecaceae.